UUGUGCUUACUCGCGGAGGGUGCACGGUCCGAGGGAAGUCCUUCUCGUUGUAAUGGUCCUUGUGCACGCGAACGACCCUAAUGUGUGAUGGAGGCCAAGCUGACAUGUUAUCUCGUCGUCCAGGCGCUAGCCCUCGUCUCCACCUCUGGCGAUUCGCAGAUAGAACAAUGCAAACUCCAUUGCCCACUGCAGAAUCGCACGCGGGACAUUCACUACGAAGUGGGAUGUAGCCCAGAUUGUAAAAUUGCUCAGUGCCUAAAAGGGUGCACGUUGUGGGAGAAGGCGCUAGAGGCAAGCUGUCAGACGGUUUGUAACGGGACGCAGGAACUGCUGCCGCCCAAGGAGCUCUACUGCGUCAUGGGUUGUAACGACGCACUCAAUAGAUAUCUGCAGAAACUGAAAGACGAGCUUGGAAGACCUCCUCCACCAGCACUGGUUGCUGAUUCGCUGACUUCAACUUCAUUGAAGCUCGAAUGGGAACGAGGCUCCUACCCAAACUUAACAGCCCUGUUGCAGUGGAGUUAUGCCGAUGCUGGACAGUGGCAAUAUGCCAGAAAUCAAAGUUGGAACUUAAAUCAAGUCAAUGUGUCAUGUCUCAGGCCAUAUACAAACUACAGAUUCAGGGUAUCACUGCUUGCACAAGAAAUGGAGUUGGUGAUGUCUGAAGCGAGCCUUGUGAUAGGUACGCUUCCAUCGGGUCUGCCUUCGUCUCCUCCAAGCCUGGUACGGGCCACUGCGACAGACCCGACAAGGGUUUCAGUCUCCUGGCUUCCAGGCCCUUUUCCCAAUGGGCCUAUAUUGUCCUACGUUGUUUCUAUCGAUGAACUUCCUCACGGUUACAAAGCACACAAGGAUAUACCCGUAUCGGAAAAAAAGGAGUUUUAUAUGUUUCAAAGCCUACUGCCUUCUAGGAACUAUUCAGUUUCUGUUGCAAUGAGAAAUGCAGUAGGUCUCGGUCCUCCUGCAGUGACUAUGCUUUCAACACCUUCACUCUCUCACGUUAAAAAAGCAGAAAAGACUAUUCUUAUAUUGGGGGCUCAUCAUACGGUUAUCAGCCAAGCUGCUGAUAUGCUGGACGAGCCGGUCGUCAUGUAUGAAACCCAACAUAGAAUCCGAGGAGUGGCAGUCCACAUAAGAAAAGGGCUCUUAUUUGUAUCAGACUCAUUGGGAAGAGUCAUGGUGACUUCUGCACGCGGGAAGCAUCAUGCUAGAGUUCUUCUUGGCACUGGUGUCGGUGAUAUAACACCGCAUGCUCUUUCCGUAGACUGGCUGAAUGAUCAGUUGUACAUUCUUGGUGAAGUGGGAAGAAGGUGGCAAGUCGCACGGUGCGAGUUGGAUGGCUCUGGUAUGAUUGUUGCUCUCGCAGGUCUCCUCGAUAAGCCUUUACAUAUGGAAAUUGAUCCAUAUAAUGGGUACUUAUUCUGGGUGAUGGAAGGAGUUCCAAGGGGAGGACUGUACCGGCUGGACAUCGCAGAUAUUAGCAAUGGGAUAAAACAUGAAGUAACCCCAGAUCUUAUCUUGCAAGAUCCAGAUCUUGGGGCGUUCACAGUCGACCAUACAAAUUUUCGCAUUCUUGUAUCGAGCCACUCCAAAAAUACUGUCCUUGCUGUUUCCUUGGAUGGAAAGGAAGUGACUGAUUUGAGACACAACACGCAAAAACCACAAUUUGAGAAAGUCCUUUCUCUCACAAUGGCCAACGGUCUCUUCUAUUGGACCAACGGGGAUAUAGUACUUACAGAAGAAUACCACACAGGGCAGAACAGUUAUUUUCACAAUCUUGUUGUCCCUGGUGUAAAAGAUCCUGGCUAUGUGAGUAUUGGAGUGGAUCUUCCCUCAGCUCAGCCAGUCCCUGCACCUGUUAAUCCACCGACUGGACUGCAAGCAGUGAUGGGCGCUAAGUUUGUGAGAGCCACAUGGAACAUACCACAUCUUCUUGGAGGUCAGGGGAAAGGCGCCUGGCAGAACUGGUCAUACCAACUGAGCAUUGAAGACCUUUCAACUGGAGAGACAUCCCUCUUGCGUCACAUUAAUUCAACAAGUGCCAUGGUCCAGGGGCUGAUGCCCGGCAGGCAGUACUUCCUGAAGACAGCCGCUGCCACAAGUUCAGGUGUCGGGCCUUGGUCUGGGGCCUUCACAGGGACGACAUUAACUAGUGAAGGCAGAGCGAGGCUCAUAUGGAGCUCAUCCGAUUCAGGACUCUUAACAACAGAUCCGACCGGGCAGGAUGAAGAAAUCUUACUACAUUCCGAUCAACUCCAAGGAAGUCAGCGUAAAUAUCAAAUAACAGGUAUUUCAUGGUAUGAAGACCAACUUUACCUAGUUACAAAUGGAAGUGGUGUCCUUUGGUACAACGUUACCACUAGAGAAAGUGGAAAAGUCGCAGAUCUCACUUCAGUCGGAAGCAUCGCAGUUGACUGGGUCGGGAAAAAACUAUACUGGUCAAAUCCAAAACAACAAUUGAUAGCGAGAGGCAGCCUGAAGGGCAAUGACCAAGAACCUCUGCCGAUCCUCACAGUGGCAAAAGAAUUGAAUAUAGAUUCAACACAAGCGUACAUUUAUUGGUCUACAGGACAUGCUGUUGAAUGUGCUAGGCUUAAUGGAAAACACAGACGGGUUUACUAUCCCGCUGAAUUAUUUUCUGGAAAACAGGUUAUGGGACUUACUUUGGAUACCAUAUCAAGGAUGGUUUUUUGGAUUGUUAGAAAUUACGAAGGAUCCACUCUUUUUCGUGCCGAGAUGGCAAAUGGAAAUAAUUUGAACUGGGAAGUCUCUUCAACCAAAAUCUCCUUGGUGCAGCAUCCAGAUAUUUUAGGGCCUUUGGUAUAUUUUGACAAUAGACUAAUUUGGCUAAGAGAUGACAAGCAAGCUGUGAUCGGCGAUUUAUUAGGCUCUAAUUCUGCCCUGCUCAAUAUUCCAGUACUUAAUAAUCUUAAUGUGUUUACUGUCAUCGACGAGACAAGAAUGCUAACGGACCAGAGUUCCUCAUUGAAUGCCAUUCCUGAAUCAAUAAAGCAAGAUUCUAUAAGAAUUGUUGGUAAUUAUAGUAAUUUUAACAUCAGUUGGGAUCCAGUAACCAAUGUAAAUAUUGGUGAAGUAUUCUAUGAGUUGAAAAUUUCUCAUAAAGAUCAGAAAGAAAUUACAGUGGAGACUGUGGGUUCGACUUGGUCUUAUCCAUCUUCUGACAUCCCUCCGCCAUAUUCAAGCUUAGAAGUGUCGGUGAGAGCACUCACUUAUUGGGGUGUAUCAGCCCAAGUCAGCACAAUUCUUUACAGCCCUGAGACUUCACCGUCCCAACCAUCUCAACCGAGAGCUUUUGUCGUUAUAAGAACACUACCAGGGAAGUCGGUUAAAGAGCCAGAGGUUGUUUUCCGCUGGGAUCCUCCAUUGUCACCUAACGGAAUCAUUAUCCGUUACACCGUUGUAUGCUGGCUGAACGGAUCAGACACAUUUUUAUGCAAUGCUCCGAAUCUUGAUCCAAAUCAGCUCAGUUUUACGUCCAAAGACGUGCCUUUUAACGUAACUGUGUUUUUUCAGGUCAGGGCAUGCACAGAAAGCGGUUGUGGAUUACCAAGCAGAGCAGUAAUGGUUAGAACGGGUGUACAAACCCCAAUUCCCAGGUUGCUUCUGACGACCAAUGAAACUCUGACCCUGACGGAUGUCGACCGUGGAGACAACACGACAUUGGCGCACAAUACAGGUGGCGGGGUGACUGGUGUUGUAUUUCAUAGUCGGGGCAGUGGAGGUGUUUACUGGAUCCAAGACUCCCAGACAAUAGUCCAUUCUUCAGCGAAAAUCCGAGCAAAGCAUAAAAUCCUGAGCUUGAACGGGACAGGCUUGAGCCUUGCCAUCGACUGGGUCAGCAACACCCUGUUCUGGACAGAAAUGUCCGAAAGAACCAACGAACUAAGAAAACUCGACCUGACACAUUUUGAACAUGAUAUCAUACAUGUCAAAACUCUCCUGAUCAGACCAUCACCCAUGCUGUCUGUACAGAUAAAUCCAUUAACACGGUCAAUUUACUGGUUUGAGGAAAGUACUAAUAAGCCAAAGCUCUGGCAGUCCUCCAUGGACGGAACAAACGUCACUCCAUUCUUCAAAAAUGGAAAGCAUAAAAGAAGGUGGGAAAGAAGUCCAUGUUCAUGUCCUUCUGAGCCACAUCCUGGGCCACAGUUUACAAUCGACCACAUAUCUGGUGUACUUAUUUGGUCAGAUGUUGUUUUGAAAAGGCUGAUGGCUUCUGACCUCAACGGCUGUCACUGUACUGUGCUGAUGGACAAUCUUCAGCAUAACGAAACUGGUUUACCUCCGAGCUGGAUAACAUCCGACCAGGAAUUAGUCUACUGGUCAAAUUCAACCGAAAACAGGCUUUACAGCUUGCAGAAACGAGAUUUGGAAAGAUACGGAAUAGCUCAACCUAAACAUGAAUUUAUUCCUGGUUUAAAAGAGAUAACUGCUUUUGGAAAUCACCUUCAGCCUUAUCCAGAUCUAAAAUGUCUUAUACCGAGACAGCCUCCCCCUCCACCAAGCCUGACAGGAAAGUCGAGCGACAGUCUCACACUCCUUUUAAGUGAUAAUCCAAGGACGGAAGAAUGUUGGAACAUUUCUCAGCCAAACUCAUUCUACACUGUCUAUUACCAGGAAGUGGAUGCUGAAGGUUUCACGACUUGUACAACCAAGAUCAGGGACUGCAAGAAAUACGAGACACUCGAAAAGUAUGUGACUAUAGAUGGCCUCAACCCCUAUUCGGAAUACAUAUUUAUGACACUCGAGAGAAAUUAUUAUUCAGACUUGGCCAACAUCACUCUAGAGCCUAGCAUACCCGUUGUGUUUCAGACUGCUCCUGGAGCACCAUCACCACCGGAAGAAGUAAUGGCUGAUGUGCUUUCUCCAAAUACUUUGUUGAUCAGUUGGGACCCACCUCGCUUGCUCAACUCUGAUAUGGUCAGUUACGAAGUGUUGUGGACCUCUGAUGGUCCGGUUGACGGUAUGAGGCAAAGAGGCGAACAGGUCGUACCUCCGAGGUGGAACUACUCGAACGGGAUGACGAGGGAAGAAACUCAGAUUCACAAGCUGUCACCGGGCGCAAAUUAUUUGAUAUGGGUUCGAGCUUAUUCUGAGAAUGCUGAAGCAUAUUCAGAAAGCAAACCAAUCGAAGUGUCCAUGUUUCCAGAGCCUAACAAUUUAACUCUAGUCAGUGCGACUGCGUAUUCGCUGAACAUCACAUGGCAGAAAAACACUGACCUGCCUUACAUACACCACAAACUCGAGUAUGUUGACAGUUCGUCAGGUGAGUGGAGUGUAGUCUCACCGACGAAUUCAACCGAAACCGGCCUUGAGGAGUAUCUGAUGGUGGGCCUUAAACCCAAAACGGUGUACACAUUCAGGAUCAAAAUCAUAUACAAAGACCCAAAUAGUCCUUUCUUAUGGCCACAAGACAAUAGAUUUACAUUUAAAACUUUGGGUGACAGACCGAGCAAGCCUGGUGUACCUGUCAUUCAACAUUUGAGCGGUGAGGCCUUCCAAGUUGCUUGGGAGCCUUCAAAAGAUAAUGGGUCUCCUGUUCAACUCUACUGGCUCGAAGGCACAAAAGUGAGUGAUUUGGAACGAACUUUGAACGUUGAAAAUCUCACAGAAAAAGAUGGAGAGGAUGAAGAUGUUGAAGACCCUUGGAAACUUUAUUUCAACGGGACUGAUAAUUUCUGGAUUGUUUCAAACCUGGAAAGCCAUGAGAGGUAUAAAUUUCGUGUGAGAUCACAGAACGACUAUGGGUGGUCGGACUUUAGCGAGUCGAGCGGUUCUUUCGACCUGACAAGGGCUGCGAUGCUGGGCGAUAGAAAGGAGAUAACUAUUAUCAUAUGGAUCAUGACUCCUGCAGCUAUAAUCUUGACCUUAUUGGUUUUCAUGUGCGUCUUGUACAGACAUGAAAGGGUAAAAAAAUGGGGCUCAGCUGGAAGCGGUCACAGGGCACUGAACGAUCCGUCAAAAGGACCGGACGUCGAGCUGGCUUCACUGAGGCAGAUACCGAGAUGGUCGGCACAUGUCCAAUCGUCAAACAUCCUUUACACUGGAGGAAAUCUAGCACCCGUUUCUCUCUUGCCACACCUACGACGUGAUCAAAUCACACUUUCGAAGUUCUUAGGCUCAGGGGCAUUUGGUGAAGUGUUCGAAGGGCAGGCGAGAAAUCUUCCCAACUCGGAGAGUGAUAUCACACGAGUUGCUGUAAAGACAUUAAGAAAAGGUGCUAAUGAUCAAGAAAAGGCAGAGUUUUUAAAGGAGGCACAGUUGAUGUCGAAUUUUCGGCAUGCUCAUAUACUUCAACUCCUCGGUGUGUGUCUGGACAAUGAUCCUCAUUUUAUCAUAAUGGAACUUAUGGAGGGUGGAGAUCUUUUAUCUUACCUACGUGCAUCACGUCCUCUUCUUAAAACUGAAUCUGGUUUAACUCUGAUCGAUCUUCUCUCCAUGUGUGUGGAUGUUGCAAAAGGCUGCUGCUACUUAGAAGAGAUGCAUUUUGUCCACCGAGACCUGGCAUGCAGGAACUGCCUCGUCUCGUCUCGUGUGAGAGAAGACAGAAUCGUGAAAAUAGGAGAUUUUGGACUGGCAAGGGAUAUUUAUAAAAAUGACUACUACAGAAAAGAAGGCGAAGGUCUGUUGCCGGUCAGAUGGAUGUCCCCCGAGUCGCUCGUCGAUGGCGUUUUUACCUGCCAGUCAGAUGUUUGGGCUUUUGGGGUCCUCCUCUGGGAAAUUAUGUCCCUCGGGCAGCAACCAUACCCAGCCAGAAAUAACUUAGAAGUACUUUAUUAUGUCAGGAACGGUGGAAGGCUUAGCCAGCCCACAAACAGUAACGUUCACAUGUAUGACCUUAUGAUAAAAUGCUGGAAUUUCAAUCCAGAGGAACGGCCGACUUUUAAAUAUUGCCUAGAUGUUUUAGAAGAGAUAUUAAAAAAUACUGAAGACAUUCCUCUCAACACUUCAACACUUACAACUGAAACAGUAGAUGAGUAGGACAGCAUGAAAUUCCUCCUAGAAUCUACUCCAGAACAAAAUCCAAGAACAAUCUUGAACUGUGUGGUUAAUAAGAGGAGGACGGAGGAUAUUGGCCCGAUUAACUCCCAGGGGAUACCAAAAUACCUCGAGCUGCUCUACGACAGUGGCGAUAGCUCCGGUUAUGAGAUACCCAAGUCGCUCUGUGAAAUCAGUGAGACCACCCAGCUGCAAAACGAAAUCGUGAGUGAUUCGGAGGAGCGGUCCAGCUUAGAGAAACUACUGCCUGUCGUCGACUCGGCCUUGUCCGAGAGAAGAAACAGAGACUCAAUGGUCGUGAGAUGAUUCCAUGUAUGAUAAAGUUAAAUUACCAAAGAGUUUUGUAUUUAUAUUUAUAUUGAACGUGCUUAGUACAAAUUGUGUCAGGCGUUACGAGAUGAGUAAAGUUUCAUUACAUAUUGAUGAUUUAUUUGACUGUGAUUGUGGUAGAUUAUUGACUGAUUGAAAUAUUCACAAUUUAUUACUGUUUAAAAAAGAUCUGUACAUAUUUAUAUUUUAUUAUUGUAUAUUAGAAUGUUUCCUGAAAUCUUGCAUUUAAUUUAUUUUGUAGCACUUUAUAUUUUAUUCA
Molecule: unclassified non-coding RNA, 7609 nt
Filed under: Cimex lectularius (bed bug)
Lineage: Eukaryota; Metazoa; Arthropoda; Insecta; Hemiptera; Cimicidae
Description: proto-oncogene tyrosine-protein kinase ROS, transcript variant X3
Source: RNAcentral